UACAGAGGGUGCGAGCGUUAUUCGGAAUUACUGGGCGUAAAGCGUGCGUAGACGGUUAUUUAAGUCGGGUGUGAAAGCCCCGGGCUCAACCUGGGAAUUGCAUUCGAGACUGAAUAGCUAGGGUACGGUAGAGGGAAGCGGAAUUUCCGGUGUAGCGGUGAAAUGCGUAGAUAUCGGAAGGAACAUCAGUGGCGAAAGCGGCUUCCUGGACCAGUACCGACGUUCAGGCACGAAAGCGUGGGGAGCAAACAGG
RNAcentral lists this ribosomal RNA (253 nucleotides) under uncultured bacterium. Its description in RNAcentral is "partial 16S ribosomal RNA". It matches the Rfam family "Bacterial small subunit ribosomal RNA", at positions 524 to 776 of the family's 1533-position model. The record is from RNAcentral.